GAUUCCUUGCCAAGCGCUUAAAACCCAAAGGAAUUGACGGUGCCCUAUAACCAUCUAGAGGAGCCUGUCCUAUAAUCGAAAACCCACGUUUAACCUCACCACCCCUAGUUUAUCAGCCUGUAUACCUCCGUCGUCAGCUUACCUCGUGAGCGCUGCAUAGUGAGCAUAAUGUCUCCCAACAACACGUCAGGUCAAGGUGCAGCAAAUGGGGUGGGAAGAGAUGGGCUACACUUUCUACUUUAGAACACACGGAAAACUACUAUGAAAUCUAGUUUGAAGGCGGAUUUAGCAGUAAAAAGAGACCAUAAUACUCAUUUUAAUCUGGCACUAGGGUGUGUACACACCGCCCGUCACCCUCUUCGAACAAUUUAUU
Molecule: ribosomal RNA, 373 nt
Filed under: Amazophrynella aff. matses sp. 1 RRR-2018
Lineage: Eukaryota; Metazoa; Chordata; Amphibia; Anura; Bufonidae
Description: partial 12S ribosomal RNA
Rfam family: Bacterial small subunit ribosomal RNA
Source: RNAcentral